Molecule: long non-coding RNA, 230 nt
Organism: Gadus morhua (Atlantic cod)
Lineage: Eukaryota; Metazoa; Chordata; Actinopteri; Gadiformes; Gadidae
Exons: 3
Source: RefSeq, a predicted model, not a curated record
ACCACUCUAUGGAUAUACCUGUUCGGUUUAAAGAUGGAAAUCAGUCUAUUGAGAAGAGAAGAGUCCAGCAGCAGAGAGCAGACUCCCCUGGACCCAGCUGUGUCUCCAUGCAGAGUGACCGGUCUAUGGAUCUACCUUUCACCUUUAAAGAUGGAAAUCACCAACCUCCUAAGAAAAGAAGGAGGCAGCAGAGAGCAGACUCCCCUGGACCCAGCUGUGUCUCCAUGAAG